GCUAUAGAUAUGAUUUGUUUUGGAUGGUAAUUGGGAUAUGAUGUUCGACUUGAGAUUGGCAGAAUGUGAUACAAAAUUAUAUUUUAAGAGUGUGAUAUAGGUUGGCUUUACCAUUAUAUAUAAUUCUAGGUAUUAUCACUUUGUAUUUAUAUCAUUUAAUGAUAAUGCAUCGUAUUAUAUCUUGUGAUAUAAUUAUCCCAGCCAGCAGCUUCCUCCCAACCAGCACAAAGCCUCCCUACCAGCAUCAUAUAUUUUUGAUUUAUUUAGAUCAUAUAUUGUAUAUGAUGUUUAAUUUCAGACUGGAAGAAUGUCAAAUAUAUUGAUACAUAUCAUGGAUUGAGAUACAAAGUUUGAUUUGUGAUACAGGAUUAUAUUUUUAGAUGAAUUUACAUAUAUGGAUUCUAUUUUUGGACAUUUUGUGGCAAUGUAUAGAGUGAUACAAGAUGGAUUUAUACGUAUGGAUUCUAUUUAUCUUAUUUUGUGAUAAUGUAUUAU
Molecule: long non-coding RNA, 495 nt
Filed under: Elaeis guineensis (African oil palm)
Lineage: Eukaryota; Viridiplantae; Streptophyta; Magnoliopsida; Arecales; Arecaceae
Description: long non-coding RNA (EGUI_LNC009523)
Source: RNAcentral